UACGAACUGUGCAAACGUUAUUCGGAUUCACUGGGCUUAAAGGGUGCGUAGGCGGCCAUGUAAGUAGGGUGUGAAAUCCCCCGGCUUAACCGGGGAACUGCGCCCUAAACUGUGUGGCUUGAGUGAGAUAGGGGUGUGUGGAACUUCCGGUGGAGCGGUGAAAUGUGUUGAUAUCGGAAGGAACGCCGGUGGCGAAAGCGACACACUGGGUCUCAACUGACGCUGAGGGCACGAAAGC
This 238-nucleotide ribosomal RNA is filed under the name uncultured bacterium. RNAcentral describes it as "partial 16S ribosomal RNA". It matches the Rfam family "Bacterial small subunit ribosomal RNA", at positions 524 to 760 of the family's 1533-position model. The record is from RNAcentral.